ACGUAGGUGGCGAGCGUUGUCCGGAAUUAUUGGGCGUAAAGCGCGCGCAGGCGGUCUCUUAAGUCUGAUGUGAAAGCCCCCGGCUCAACCGGGGAGGGUCAUUGGAAACUGGGAGACUUGAGUGCAGGAGAGGGAAGCGGAAUUCCAUGUGUAGCGGUGAAAUGUGUAGAGAUCGGGAGGAACACCGGUGGCGAAGGCGGGUCUCUGGGCAUCUCCUGACGCUGAGGCGCGAAAGCGUGGGGAGCAAACGGGA
This 253-nucleotide ribosomal RNA is filed under the name uncultured prokaryote. RNAcentral's name for it is "partial 16S ribosomal RNA". It matches the Rfam family "Bacterial small subunit ribosomal RNA", at positions 525 to 777 of the family's 1533-position model. The record is from RNAcentral.